UACGUAGGGUGCAGGCGUUAAUCGGAAUUACUGGGCGUAAAGCGUGCGCAGGCGGCUUUGCAAGACAGAUGUGAAAUCCCCGGGCUUAACCUGGGAACUGCAUUUGUGACUGCAUGGCUAGAGUGCGGCAGAGGGGGAUGGAGUUCCGCGUGUAGCAGUGAAAUGCGUAGAUAUGCGGAGGAACACCGAUGGCGAAGGCAAUCCCCUGGGCCUGCACUGACGCUCAUGCACGAAAGCGUGGGGAGCAAACAGG
This 253-nucleotide ribosomal RNA is filed under the name uncultured bacterium. Its description in RNAcentral is "partial 16S ribosomal RNA". It matches the Rfam family "Bacterial small subunit ribosomal RNA", at positions 524 to 776 of the family's 1533-position model. The record is from RNAcentral.